Molecule: ribosomal RNA, 429 nt
Filed under: Gemmatimonadota bacterium
Lineage: Bacteria; Pseudomonadati; Gemmatimonadota
Description: Gemmatimonadetes bacterium partial 16S ribosomal RNA
Rfam family: Bacterial small subunit ribosomal RNA
Source: RNAcentral
UAGGGAAUCUUCGGCAAUGGACGAAAGUCUGACCGAGCAACGCCGCGUGAGUGAAGAAGGUUUUCGGAUCGUAAAACUCUGUUGUUAGAGCAGAACAAGGACGUUAGUAACUGAACGUCCCCUGACGGUAUCUAACCAGAAAGCCACGGCUAACUACGUGCCAGCAGCCGCGGUAAUACGUAGGUGGCAAGCGUUGUCCGGAUUUAUUGGGCGUAAAGCGAGCGCAGGCGGUUUCUUAAGUCUGAUGUGAAAGCCCCCGGCUCAACCGGGGAGGGUCAUUGGAAACUGGGAGACUUGAGUGCAGAAGAGGGGAGUGGAAUUCCAUGUGUAGCGGUGAAAUGCGUAGAUAUAUGGAGGAACACCAGUGGCGAAGGCGGCGCUCUGGUCUGUAACUGACGCUGAGGCUCGAAAGCGUGGGGAGCAAACAGG